CAGCAGGAUGGAGAGGACGGCGAGUGGCCAGAUGAGGUAGCUGAGCCAUUGCAACCAGCUUGGAAUGUGGCUCAUGAGCUGGGGAAUCCAGUCAUUUAACCGGGUGAAAAGCCACCAGAAGGCCCCCCCCAUCAGCACAAUAUUCAUGAGUAGGGGAAGAAUGACGAAACGCCGGAUGCCCGGUAGUGAGAUCAAACGCCAUCCGGCAAGAAAAUAGUGUAUUCCGCUGCGAACCUGGCCUGCGGUGUUGCCGUAAGGCGGUUUUUCGAAAGACAUAGUGACAAUAUACUCAGUCAUUUGUUUGUUGAGGCAUCAUAUCGGGAUGAUCUUAUGCUGACUAGCCCGCAUUUGGAUGAAAAAACAGCAAAAAAGUGCGUUGUAUCUAUCUUUCUUGUCAUAAAGUACCGCGCAGGCUUGCACUUGUGUACUCAGGCAAAUAGAGU
Molecule: non-coding RNA, 443 nt
Organism: Pectobacterium carotovorum subsp. carotovorum PC1
Lineage: Bacteria; Pseudomonadati; Pseudomonadota; Gammaproteobacteria; Enterobacterales; Pectobacteriaceae
Source: Rfam